This 400-nucleotide ribosomal RNA is filed under the name uncultured bacterium. Its description in RNAcentral is "bacterial SSU rRNA". It matches the Rfam family "Bacterial small subunit ribosomal RNA", at positions 355 to 748 of the family's 1533-position model. The record is from RNAcentral.
UGGGGAAUAUUGGACAAUGGGCGAAAGCCUGAUCCAGCAAUGCCGCGUGUGUGAAGAAGGCCUUAGGGUUGUAAAGCACUUUCGGUCGGGAGGAAAAACCUGUUGUGAAUAGCUUCAGGCUUGACGCUACCGACAUAAGAAGCACCGGCUAACUCUGUGCCAGCAGCCGCGGUAAUACAGAGGGUGCAAGCGUUAAUCGGAAUUACUGGGCGUAAAGCGCACGCAGGCGGAUAGGUAAGUUGGAUGUGAAAGCCCCGGGCUCAACCUGGGAACGGCAUUCAAAACUGCUUAUCUAGAGUGCAGUAGAGGAGAGUGGAAUUUCCGGUGUAGCGGUGAAAUGCGUAGAUAUCGGAAGGAACACCAGUGGCGAAGGCGACUCUCUGGACUGACACUGACGCUC